This is a long non-coding RNA of Oxyura jamaicensis (ruddy duck), 1753 nucleotides long. RefSeq lists it as uncharacterized. The transcript has 2 exons. The record is from RefSeq and is a predicted model, not a curated record. Lineage: Eukaryota; Metazoa; Chordata; Aves; Anseriformes; Anatidae.
UGUGGUGACUGAGAAAAGAGGGGUGAAAAACCAAAUUCUUCAUAAAAAGGAAAUCUUCUGACUCUCUUCCCCUAUAAAUGGGCACCAUUUGUGUUAAACAGCCUCUUGUCAUGAUAGAUGCCUCCUGGGGUCAGGGGGGAAAGUUGAGCUGAAGGUCAGCAGUAAAACAACAGACAAACCAGACGCCAAACUGGUUCCUGAGCUGUCGGUGGGAGCAGCGGUACAACCAGGUCCUGAACCUUUUUCAACCUCUAAUAAAACAGGGGAAGAAUCUGAAGUGGAUCAACCAGGCCCCAGAGGAAGCCGCACGGAAAAACACAAAUAAUAUCAAUAUCGCGCAGCCAUGGGAAACAAUGGGGCAGCUCUCGGCGUGACAUGCACGCCGCUAUUGUUUCAAGAGCCGGGGAAUUAAUUCCACUUAUUUAUUUAAGGCGUGUCAGCUCGCUGCCUAAACCUGUUUCGGUGUCAAGAUGAAUAAAACUUUUAUGGCUCAUAAAAUAGAGCCAUUCAUCUCAAUGUUCUUUGUGGUGCCUGGGGUUUUUUUCCCCUCUCCUCCUGGCAGGCUGUGCCCAGCGGCCUGGCGCUACCAGCUCGCUCGUACGAGCGAAGCGCUGGGCUGGCACCUGGAGCUGGGCAGGGACCACAGAGAUGAUGACAGCACCCCCCCCUUUUUCCGGGGGUUCUUCCUCUGUAAGAGCAAGGAUGCCAGUGCGUGAUGCCCAUGGUCUAAGCUCAGGCACGUGGUAUAGCUAAAAGGAAUGGUAAUAGAAGUGUCCUACCAGACAAUAGCAACAGCAUCGGGGUUAAAUUCCUCUCACAUCUUCUGUUUUCCAACGGGCUUCGGAAUGAGCAGCAAUAUGUGUACGUUGGAUGGGGCAUCACAGGCAGUGAAGCCCAGGCAAAACUUCUGUGUUUGAUCGCAGAUGGUGAAUGUGGAUUCAUCAUCACCCUGUGCAGGAGCCCCCUACUCUAUCCCCGUUCUAAAACCCACAAUGAAUUUAUGUCACCUAUGGAGCUCUGGACCAACAGGUUGUUGCCACUUUUGCUGCUUUUCACAUCAGAGAAGUCAAGUAAUUCUCAGGGCCCGUUGAAAUAUGUCUCAUCUGAACCGAAUUUCUGCUUGCAAACCACCCGAUAGACACGGACGUAAGAAAUAUUUAUUACCGUCAAGCAAGGCUUUCAAACUUUUACUUAAUCUGAGGCAAUUAGUACCUGAAUAAACACGGACUAAGUAAUCUACCUUCUCGCAACCUAAUUGCACUUUAAAAGAGUUAUUCGGCUCUGCCCAAGGAAAGCACAGCUCUGAUUAAGAUGCUUUGGAGAUUCGCUUUCAUCCCUAUGCCGUUUGGCCCCAGAAAGCCUUCUAUUAAACCCCUCUAACUUCUAAUGGAAAACCUUUUGCAAAACCCCUCCAACUUUGCAUUUCUCCCGUGCCAGACCCCGGCCGGACCCGGCCCUCUCCCCGCCAAAUCUUUAACCCCGCUUCUCAUUUUUCUUGGGCUCUAAUCUAAUCACUAAUUCCUUCGCUUGGCCAAAUAGUUAAAAAUGUUAAGUGCUGGCAGUUCCUCCUGCCUCCCCCCCGUAUCUGUCUCUGUUUAUGGAACGGGCCCUGGUUUCCUCCUUCUCUUGUUCAGCUGUAGGUCUUCAGGUCAGGAGACUGUAAAUACACACAGCGCUGCCCCAACCCAUAAAUCUGAGCAAAGGGCAGCCCUAUAUAUUCAGAUAAGCAAUGCAGAGAGGGGGAGAGAAACAA